GUCCCAAGGGUUUGGCUGUUCGCCAAUUAAAGCGGUACGCGAGCUGGGUUCAGAACGUCGUGAGACAGUUCGGUCUCCUAUCCGCUACGGGCGUUGAAUCUUGAAGAGUCUCAUCUCUAGUACGAGAGGACCGAGAUGAACGAACCUCUAGUGUACCAGUUGUGUCACCAGAUGCAUUGCUGGGUAGCUACGUUCGGUUUGGAUAAACGCUGAAAGCAUAUAAGCGUGAAGCUGUCUCUAAGAUUAGGAUUCGUUAUAGGUCACUGGGAGACUACCAGUUUGAUAGGCUCUAUGUGUAAGUACAGUAAUGUAUUUAGCAGAGGAGUACUAAUAGACCGAAGC
This is a ribosomal RNA of 342 nucleotides. It matches the Rfam family "Bacterial large subunit ribosomal RNA", at positions 2562 to 2913 of the family's 2925-position model.